GAUGAACGCUGGCGGCGUGCCUAAUAAAUGCAAGUCGAGCGAACAGACGAGGAGCUUGCUCCUCUGACGUUAGCGGCGGACGGGUGAGUAACACGUGGAUAACCUACCUAUAAGACUGGGAUAACUUCGGGAAACCGGAGCUAAUACCGGAUAAUAUAUUGAACCGCAUGGUUCAAUAGUGAAAGACGGUUUUGCUGUCACUUAUAGAUGGAUCCGCGCCGCAUUAGCUAGUUGGUAAGGUAACGGCUUACCAAGGCAACGAUGCGUAGCCGACCUGAGAGGGUGAUCGGCCACACUGGAACUGAGACACGGUCCAGACUCCUACGGGAGGCAGCAGUAGGGAAUCUUCCGCAAUGGGCGAAAGCUUGACGGAGCAACGCCGCGUGAGUGAUGAAGGUCUUCGGAUCGUAAAACUCUGUUAUUAGGGAAGAACAAAUGUGUAAGUAACUAUGCACGUCUUGACGGUACCUAAUCAGAAAGCCACGGCUAACUACGUG
RNAcentral lists this ribosomal RNA (497 nucleotides) under uncultured bacterium. RNAcentral describes it as "partial 16S ribosomal RNA". It matches the Rfam family "Bacterial small subunit ribosomal RNA", at positions 28 to 507 of the family's 1533-position model. The record is from RNAcentral.